AAUUAAUGGCUUAGGCAUUGGUUUGGGAUGGGGAUGGGGAGUUUGUUGGAUGUGGCCAUGUGAUAUAUUCAAGGCGAUCCAUAAAGAUACAGUCAAUCUAUUUAAGUCGAUCUAUAAAGAUACGAUAGAUCUUAUGGUUAGGAUAUAUCUGGCCACGUCUUUGAUGGUCGACGGACGUGAUUUAACAUCCUUACAUUAAGUUAUAUAUAAAUAUGUAACAUACGGGAGUCCCGGUUUAACCCUAAUGCAAUUAUCUGUGACAGCUCCAUCUCCGGGGAUAAGGG
This 284-nucleotide long non-coding RNA is filed under the name Ananas comosus (pineapple). Its description in RNAcentral is "long non-coding RNA (ACOM_LNC031712)". Lineage: Eukaryota; Viridiplantae; Streptophyta; Magnoliopsida; Poales; Bromeliaceae. The record is from RNAcentral.